UAGAACGGCCGGUAACAAUACAUCAACUAUUUCGAAGACUAACAGCUGAAAGCAGCAGCCAAAAUCCUGGUGGAGGGAUCAAAGCCAAAAUCUAUCAUGGUAAGAUCUGCCAGUGAGGAGUUGAGGGUAUGCUCUCUUUGUUAGCCAUAAUAUAUAUGAAAUUGGACUCAACUACAAUGCAACAUAUGCCACAACCACUUCGUGUUGAGUACCGUACCAUAAUUUUGAACCUCGACGUACUGUAUGCACAAGUAUAAG
This 258-nucleotide unclassified non-coding RNA is filed under the name Hevea brasiliensis (rubber tree). The record is from RNAcentral. Lineage: Eukaryota; Viridiplantae; Streptophyta; Magnoliopsida; Malpighiales; Euphorbiaceae.